CUGGUAAAAAGGUGAAAACCUUUUUUACCCCCAAACUCUGUGCAAUGGAGCACACGGCUUAUGCAUCGAUGAAGCCCGCGGCAAAAAGCGAUAUGUAAUGAGAUUCGUUAGCCUCGCGAUUCAUCAAAUUGGUGAACACAUACUGGACCUCUUCGGAGGUACUUGCGUUAGAGUGCUAGUUUUCUAUCAAUUGAUCCCGGUAAAAGGUGUUUGAGUCGUAGAUUCUUACGCCCUAGCUGGUGUAGCCGGAUUCUCUUUGAGAAACCGGAUUGUUCUUGGUAAACAUGUUAGUGUGUUGGUUGGUAUCUAUAGCCUUUCGGGGUGCAGAGAUCAAUCACAUUACUAGCUGUCCCAGGUCAAUCUUUUAUAUACUAAACUGGCCUCUAAUGUGAGAGGGUACCCCCUGGAUUUAAGCAUAUGAACCUGCGUAGGGAUCAUUU
This 440-nucleotide unclassified non-coding RNA is filed under the name Naegleria sp. RNG067. RNAcentral describes it as "partial contains ITS1, 5.8S rRNA, ITS2, and 28S rRNA". The stretch from base 34 to 178 matches the Rfam family "5.8S ribosomal RNA". Lineage: Eukaryota; Heterolobosea; Eutetramitea; Acrasida; Naegleriidae. The record is from RNAcentral.